This 491-nucleotide ribosomal RNA is filed under the name uncultured bacterium. Its description in RNAcentral is "partial 16S ribosomal RNA". It matches the Rfam family "Bacterial small subunit ribosomal RNA", at positions 38 to 507 of the family's 1533-position model. The record is from RNAcentral.
GGGAAAGAGGGAGGGAGGCCUAACACAUGCAAGUCGAACGGCAGCACAGAAAGAGCUUGCUCUUACGGGUGGCGAGUGGCGGACGGGUGAGGAAUACAUCGGAAUCUACCUUUUCGUGGGGGAUAACGUAGGGAAACUUACGCUAAUACCGCAUACGACCUACGGGUGAAAGCAGGGGAUCUUCGGACCUUGCGCGAUUGAAUGAGCCGAUGUCGGAUUAGCUAGUUGGCGGGGUAAAGGCCCACCAAGGCGACGAUCCGUAGCUGGUCUGAGAGGAUGAUCAGCCACACUGGAACUGAGACACGGUCCAGACUCCUACGGGAGGCAGCAGUGGGGAAUAUUGGACAAUGGGCGCAAGCCUGAUCCAGCCAUACCGCGUGGGUGAAGAAGGCCUUCGGGUUGUAAAGCCCUUUUGUUGGGAAAGAAAAGCAGCAGGUUAAUACCCCGCUGUUCUGACGGUACCCAAAGAAUAAGCACCGGCUAACUUCGUG